UGGGGGAUAACGUAGGGAAACUUACGCUAAUACCGCAUACGACCUUCGGGUGAAAGCAGGGGACCUUCGGGCCUUGCGCGGAUAGAUGAGCCGAUGUCGGAUUAGCUAGUUGGCGGGGUAAAGGCCCACCAAGGCGACGAUCCGUAGCUGGUCUGAGAGGAUGAUCAGCCACACUGGAACUGAGACACGGUCCAGACUCCUACGGGAGGCAGCAGUGGGGAAUAUUGGACAAUGGGCGCAAGCCUGAUCCAGCCAUACCGCGUGGGUGAAGAAGGCCUUCGGGUUGUAAAGCCCUUUUGUUGGGAAAGAAAAGCAGCCGAUUAAUACUCGGUUGUUCUGACGGUACCCAAAGAAUAAGCACCGGCUAACUUCGUGCCAGCAGCCGCGGUAAUACGAAGGGUGCAAGCGUUACUCGGAAUUACUGGGCGUAAAGCGUGCGUAGGUGGUUGUUUAAGUCUGUUGUGAAAGCCCUGGGCUCAACCUGGGAAUUGCAGUGGAUACUGGGCGACUAGAGUGUGGUAGAGGGUAGUGGAAUUCCCGGUGUAGCAGUGAAAUGCGUA
Molecule: ribosomal RNA, 560 nt
Filed under: Stenotrophomonas sp. N12-5
Lineage: Bacteria; Pseudomonadati; Pseudomonadota; Gammaproteobacteria; Lysobacterales; Lysobacteraceae
Also listed under: 1 other name
Description: bacterial SSU rRNA
Rfam family: Bacterial small subunit ribosomal RNA
Source: RNAcentral